This 253-nucleotide ribosomal RNA is filed under the name uncultured bacterium. RNAcentral describes it as "partial 16S ribosomal RNA". It matches the Rfam family "Bacterial small subunit ribosomal RNA", at positions 524 to 776 of the family's 1533-position model. The record is from RNAcentral.
UACAUGGGGUGCAAACGUUGCUCGGAAUUAUUGGGCGUAAAGCGCGCGUAGGCGGUUACUUAAGUCGGAUGUGAAAGCCCUCGGCUUAACUGAGGAAGUGCACCCGAAACUGAGUAGCUAGAGUACGAAAGAGGGUCGCGGAAUUCCCGGUGUAGAGGUGAAAUUCGUAGACAUCGGGAGGAACACCGGUGGCGAAGGCGGCGACCUGGGUCGAGACUGACGCUGAGGCGCGAAAGCGUGGGGAGCAAACAGG